Molecule: long non-coding RNA, 408 nt
Filed under: Physcomitrium patens
Lineage: Eukaryota; Viridiplantae; Streptophyta; Bryopsida; Funariales; Funariaceae
Description: long non-coding RNA (PPAT_LNC001880)
Source: RNAcentral
GCUGCACGGGCAUUUCUCGUUGAAUCGCCGGAGCCAUGUGAUGCUGUGCCAGAAUUCGGCGCUGCAACAGUUUGAAACGCGACUUAUGGAGUGGCUCGAAGCAUUGAAACUGUCUGGCGAGGUCCAGGGGUUUUUGAGUGUAAACUGGCUGCUCCAAGCCAUGUCCGUUGUCCUGGCAACGCACACAAACUUAGGAAGGCUCAUCCCUGAUUCAGAGUUGUCCUUGUGUCAAGGAACUGAUAAGUGGAUUGAGGAUUACCUUGAUGAUAAUGCGAAGCUUCUGGAUGUAUGCAAUGUGUUGAGAGAUGGAAUUGCAGAUGUCGAGAAUUAUCAGACACUGGUGCAGCUUGCCCUCCAUAAUGUUGACAACAGAACUGAGAGCUGCAGCGAGGGGAAGUACUAUAGGGC